Molecule: ribosomal RNA, 229 nt
Filed under: uncultured bacterium
Lineage: Bacteria
Description: partial 16S ribosomal RNA
Rfam family: Bacterial small subunit ribosomal RNA
Source: RNAcentral
UAACAUAAGUAACCUGCCCUAGACAGGGGGAGUAACUAUUGGAAACGAUAGCUAAGACCGCAUAGGUACGGACACUGCAUGGUGACCGUAUUAAAAGUGCCUCGAAGCACUGGUAGAGGAUGGACUUAUGGCGCAUUAGCUGGUUGGCGGGGUAACGGCCCACCAAGGCGACGAUGCGUAGCCGACCUGAGAGGGUGACCGGCCACACUGGGACUGAGACACGGCCCAG